UACGUAGGGCGCAAGCGUUAUCCGGAAUUAUUGGGCGUAAAGAGCUCGUAGGCGGUUUGUCGCGUCUGCCGUGAAAGUCCGGGGCUCAACCUCGAGAUGUCGGCGGAAACCGUCUGGCUAGAGUCCGGAAGAGGAGAGUGGAAUUCCUGGUGUAGCGGUGAAAUGCGCAGAUAUCAGGAAGAACACCUAUGGCGAAGGCAGCCCCCCUGGGCUGACACUGACGCUCAGGCACGAAAGCGUGGGGAGCAAACAGG
RNAcentral lists this ribosomal RNA (254 nucleotides) under uncultured bacterium. Its description in RNAcentral is "partial 16S ribosomal RNA". It matches the Rfam family "Bacterial small subunit ribosomal RNA", at positions 524 to 776 of the family's 1533-position model. The record is from RNAcentral.